This is a long non-coding RNA of Pseudopipra pipra, 2608 nucleotides long. RefSeq lists it as uncharacterized. Lineage: Eukaryota; Metazoa; Chordata; Aves; Passeriformes; Pipridae. The transcript has 2 exons. The record is from RefSeq and is a predicted model, not a curated record.
ACAAUUGAUGGGCCUAGUGCGAGGAGAAAUUGCUUUCUUAAUGCCUUAAUUAACGAAGAUACCGCUGUUAGAAGUCCUCAGAGGGUUCACAGCACUUUGAGGGAGCAUAAAAGAUGACCGGUGGUUAUUCAGGGUGAAGCUGCUCUGAGGGAUAUUUGGCCUCAGUGAAUCCUCAUAAGCAUUGUGUUUGGAUCCAAGACAGAACUGAAGCAGCAUGGUACUUUUUGAGGACCAAACCCCGAAUUUAAAUAUUAAAUCUUUAUUAGAUAAUGAAUACUAAAGGCCAUUAGGCACAUAUCAAGGACAAACAUGCUUGCUUUAGUCAAAAGGAAGAAAUGUGUUUAGCAACUGAUUUUCACUUGUCUUUUUGCAGUUUACGGUUGUGUUUCUUAUACUUGUUAAAACUUGAUUAUAAAUUGUCAUAAGGAGAAAACCACAAAGGAUUAACACACUUAAAUGUUCAUAAUUGAGAUCGCUGGGUAGUGCUGCUGGGUGACCAUGCCCACGGGGUGUUUCACCCAGAGAUGACUGGUUUGGGGACCGGAUUAAAUUAGUUUUAAAACAAUAAAAGCACAUGUGUACUCAGGAAAAAAUCUGCACUCACUUCUUGCAAAUAAUUUAUUUAAUGCUGUUUCUACUGUUAUAGCAUGCUUACUUAAUCUUUUAAAGAAAGAAGUUUGCUACUUUCUUAACAUCAAUGUUGCCAUGAGAAUCCAGGUCUAUAUAGUGAGACAUGUAUGUACCUCCCUAUCACCUCAGGCCAAUGAACCCGUGAAAGAUUAACUCCUGAAAGGUCAGGCAGUCCUAAUUAAAACCUCUAGAACAAUGUAGUCCUAAUGCAACUCUGGCAUGUUUACCAAUUUACAAAUCAGAAAUUACUUUCUCAUGGUUUCUGACUCCUUUAAUGCUGGUUAUGCUCAUAUCUCAUACUUUCAGGUGCAUAAUAUACCCAAUAUGGUAUGCAGUUUGUUCCAGGUUUGUGCAUCAGCAUUGCAUUUCCAUUCAUACGUCCAUGGCCUCAUUAUUUUUGAUUAAUUUCUGAGCUUGUCUUUCCAAACAUCAAUUUUUUGGAGGUUUUAGAGUAAUAAAUUUUCAGGGCCACUCCUUGUUCAGUGAGCACCUGGGUCUCUCUAGCUUUUUUCAAUCUUUAGAUGUAAGAUGCUAUUUAAAUUAAAAAAAAUUAGGUUUCCCAGGAAAUAAAGGGCAUGUCUACCCCUGCAGGUGCCAGAAGGAUGGAGUUCUCUCCCCACCUUGCUUUUCCACACAGCAGUGUAACCAUGGUGUAGUGUUCUGCUAAAAUAGCUGCCAGACAGGAUCAGCUUGUACCUGAUUAGCAUGGAGCAUCAGAGGCCCAGGGAGGCCUCUGCACCCAUCCACACAGACAGGGACACAAUAAGUAGUUAAUCUAUUAACAAAAAGGAGCUGGCAGGCCCUGCUGUGCCAGAGCACUGAAACCACCCAAACUGGGAACCAAGCUAGAUUUUACAUCCAUCACUUUGAUCACAGUAUCUCCCAUGUAUCUUUCUUGGGAAUGGGCCCCUGAUGUGAAAAACAAUCACACUGCUGUGUGUAAAAAUAAAGGCAAAGAAAUGGGUCCUGUUUCAGAACACCACCACACAUUUGGGUUUCCAUGCAGUUUGUCAGAGGAGAAUUUGAAGUUUUUGUGUCCAAGACUACUAGAUUAAGAUGAAUUUAGUUGGAAUAGUAAUGUGAACUGGGUUUGGGCAAUACUGGACAUGCCCCUCGAGCAUGCCUGCCCUGUAAUGCCAGUGUGUGAUGACAUCCUCAUGCAUGAAUCCUGAACAUACCAACUUCUGCAUACACGUGUUACUAUCAGGGACACAGUAAGAGUAAAAUCCUGGCCAUGUGGGGACAAUUUAAUAUAAUAUAUGCAGAAAGUCAAGUGAAAAGUCAACAACUGACAUGUUCCCAAGCCGUGGGGCAUUUACGCACGAGCAGCUGGUGCACAAUCAUUGUAAUGAAAACAAUUUCUUAUCAUUAAAUAUACAAUGCACACAUUUGCUUUCCUUGUUUUGCUUAAAUGAAGACGGUAUUUCUAGGUAAAAAUGUCUUGCACUACCUCUUCCUUCUCUGCAUUUCUUCUUUUUUCAAUUAGCAAGCUACUACUGUAUGUUUGGAUAAUCACUGCCUUUUGAUGACAAAAUGUUUUAGCCUUCCUUACCUUUUCUCUUUUAUUCCCUAUAAUGUUAUCGGAGGCUGAGGUUUGUUAAGGUUUUCACAUGUGAUAUUUAUAUAAAUCAAACCUCUUCUGUUGCAUGAAGACUGUGGAUUUUUAAAUGUAUUUGUGAUGCACAGGGUCUCCAUAAAAAGAAACUUGGCAGUGAUUCCUCCCGCUUUAUUCUUUCAUUUUCUCAAAUUUUCUAUUUCCUGUUAAUUUUGUUGUCUUGUCCUUGCACUUUCCUUCCACUUUCCUGUAUUUUGUCAAAAAAGGCUGUGCAACAGAAAAAUCUGGUCACAUGCAUGCCCAAGAGAUUAAUUGACCUUUGUGCCUUUAAACCUCCUGAGCAGUUCAAGUCAGAACAGCAAAGAACGAAUCUGCAGCAGAAUUAUCUUUCUGGAAAUAAAUAACAGGCUCUUCAAAGCCCCA